This 468-nucleotide ribosomal RNA is filed under the name uncultured bacterium. RNAcentral describes it as "partial 16S ribosomal RNA". It matches the Rfam family "Bacterial small subunit ribosomal RNA", at positions 28 to 507 of the family's 1533-position model. The record is from RNAcentral.
GAUGAACGCUGGCGGCGUGCUUAACACAUGCAAGUCGAACGGAAAGGCCCAAGCUUGCUUGGGUACUCGAGUGGCGAACGGGUGAGUAACACGUGGGUGAUCUGCCCUGCACUUCGGGAUAAGCCUGGGAAACUGGGUCUAAUACCGGAUAGGACGAUGGUUUGGAUGCCAUUGUGGAAAGUUUUUUCGGUGUGGGAUGAGCUCGCGGCCUAUCAGCUUGUUGGUGGGGUAAUGGCCUACCAAGGCGUCGACGGGUAGCCGGCCUGAGAGGGUGUACAGCCACAUUGGGACUGAGAUACGGCCCAGACUCCUACGGGAGGCAGCAGUGGGGAAUAUUGCACAAUGGGCGCAAGCCUGAUGCAGCGACGCCGCGUGGGGGAUGAAGGCCUUCGGGUUGUAGACUCCUUUCGCUAGGGACGAAGCGUUUUUGUGACGGUACCUGGAGAAGAAGCACCGGCUAACUACGUG